GAUAAACGCUGGCGGCGCACAUAAGACAUGCAAGUCGAACGGACUUAACCAUUAGGUUUACUAUUGGAGCGGUUAGUGGCGGACUGGUGAGUAACACGUAAGCAACCUGCCUAUCAGAGGGGGAACAACAGUUAGAAAUGACUGCUAAUACCGCAUAUGCCUAAGUACCACAUGGUACAAUAGGGAAAGGAGCAAUCCGCUGAUAGAUGAGCUUGCGUCUGAUUAGAUAGUUGGUGGGGUAACGGCCUACCAAGGCGACGAUCAGUAGCCGACCUGAGAGGGUGAUCGGCCACAUUGGAACUGAGACACGGUCCAAACUCCUACGGGAGGCAGCAGUGGGGAAUAUUGCACAAUGGGCGAAAGCCUGAUGCAGCAACGCCGCGUGAAGGAAGAAGGUCUUCGGAUCGUAAACUUCUGUCCUUAGGGAAGAUAAUGACGGUACCUUUGGAGGAAGCCCCGGCUAACUACGUG
RNAcentral lists this ribosomal RNA (471 nucleotides) under uncultured bacterium. Its description in RNAcentral is "bacterial SSU rRNA". It matches the Rfam family "Bacterial small subunit ribosomal RNA", at positions 28 to 507 of the family's 1533-position model. The record is from RNAcentral.